GAUGAACGCUGGCGGCGUGCCUAAUACAUGCAAGUCGAGCGAACAGACGAGGAGCUUGCUCCUCUGACGUUACCGGCGGACGGGUGAGUAACACGUGGAUAACCUACCUAUGAGACUGGGAUAACUUCGGGAAACCGGAGCUAAUACCGGAUAACAUGUUGAACCGCAUGGUUCAACGGUGAAAGACGGUCUUGGUGUCACUUAUAGAUGGAUCCGCGCCGCAUUAGGUAGUUGGUAAGGUAACGGCUUACCAAGGCAACGAUGGGUAGCCGGCCUGAGAGGGUGAUCGGCCACACUGGAACUGAGACACGGUCCAGACUCCUACGGGAGGCAGCAGUAGGGAAUCUUCCACAAUGGGCGAAAGCCUGAUGGAGCAACGCCGCGUGAGUGAAGAAGGUCUUCGGAUCGUAAAACUCUGUUAUUAGGGAAGAACAAAUGUGUAAGUAACUACGCACGUCUUGACGGUACCUAAUCAGAAAGCCACGGCUAACUACGUG
This 497-nucleotide ribosomal RNA is filed under the name uncultured bacterium. Its description in RNAcentral is "partial 16S ribosomal RNA". It matches the Rfam family "Bacterial small subunit ribosomal RNA", at positions 28 to 507 of the family's 1533-position model. The record is from RNAcentral.